RNAcentral lists this long non-coding RNA (420 nucleotides) under Coffea arabica (coffee). Its description in RNAcentral is "long non-coding RNA (CARA_LNC008119)". The record is from RNAcentral. Lineage: Eukaryota; Viridiplantae; Streptophyta; Magnoliopsida; Gentianales; Rubiaceae.
UCCAGUGAGUGGUCUUGUCCUGCUGCUUUCGAAGCAUUUUGAGUCCUCAAUAGGACUUGCAUACAUCCAGUGUUCUCUCAGGGGUAAGCCAAUUCAAUAUUGAAUUGAAGUGAAAAGAAAAGGAAAGCCCCAGUAAUUGUCUUUUUUAUUUUUCUCACUAGUGUCAGGAUUGAGAGUGCUAGUCAAAUUCUAAGCCCAUUCAGUUGUAGUCCAUUUUUCAAUGGCAGUUGCCUGCCUUCGGUGCCUUUUCAGUAAAAAGAAUAUAAGAACCCCUAGCCAGCUUAUCUAUAAUCUCCCAGAACUGAGAAAGUUCGAGGUUCCUGUCUUAAGCCUAUCCUAUCCUAACUAAGCUCUUCCAUUGCUAAUGCCGUAUUUGGGUUUUUUAGAAGGCGUUGAAAUUAGAGAUUGAGUUCUCUUUGC